Molecule: ribosomal RNA, 565 nt
Filed under: Escherichia coli
Lineage: Bacteria; Pseudomonadati; Pseudomonadota; Gammaproteobacteria; Enterobacterales; Enterobacteriaceae
Description: partial 23S ribosomal RNA
Rfam family: Bacterial large subunit ribosomal RNA
Source: RNAcentral
CGUACCUUUUGUAUAAUGGGUCAGCGACUUAUAUUCUGUAGCAAGGUUAACCGAAUAGGGGAGCCGAAGGGAAACCGAGUCUUAACCGGGCGUUAAGUUGCAGGGUAUAGACCCGAAACCCGGUGAUCUAGCCAUGGGCAGGUUGAAGGUUGGGUAACACUAACUGGAGGACCGAACCGACUAAUGUUGAAAAAUUAGCGGAUGACUUGUGGCUGGGGGUGAAAGGCCAAUCAAACCGGGAGAUAGCUGGUUCUCCCCGAAAGCUAUUUAGGUAGCGCCUCGUGAAUUCAUCUCCGGGGGUAGAGCACUGUUUCGGCAAGGGGGUCAUCCCGACUUACCAACCCGAUGCAAACUGCGAAUACCGGAGAAUGUUAUCACGGGAGACACACGGCGGGUGCUAACGUCCGUCGUGAAGAGGGAAACAACCCAGACCGCCAGCUAAGGUCCCAAAGUCAUGGUUAAGUGGGAAACGAUGUGGGAAGGCCCAGACAGCCAGGAUGUUGGCUUAGAAGCAGCCAUCAUUUAAAGAAAGCGUAAUAGCUCACUGGUCGAGUCGGCCUGCGCG